This 460-nucleotide ribosomal RNA is filed under the name uncultured bacterium. Its description in RNAcentral is "partial 16S ribosomal RNA". It matches the Rfam family "Bacterial small subunit ribosomal RNA", at positions 338 to 795 of the family's 1533-position model. The record is from RNAcentral.
CCUACGGGGUGCAGCAGUGAGGAAUAUUGGUCAAUGGACGAGAGUCUGAACCAGCCAAGUAGCGUGAAGGAUGACUGCCCUAUGGGUUGUAAACUUCUUUUAUAUGGGAAUAAAACGUUCCACGUGUGGGAUUUUGUAUGUACCAUAUGAAUAAGGAUCGGCUAACUCCGUGCCAGCAGCCGCGGUAAUACGGAGGAUCCGAGCGUUAUCCGGAUUUAUUGGGUUUAAAGGGAGCGUAGGUGGAUUGUUAAGUCAGUUGUGAAAGUUUGCGGCUCAAUCGUAAAAUUGCAGUUGAAACUGGCAGUCUUGAGUACAGUAGAGGUGGGCGGAAUUCGUGGUGUAGCGGUGAAAUGCUUAGAUAUCACGAAGAACUCCGAUUGCGAAGGCAGUUCACUGGACUGCAACUGACACUGAGGCUCGAAAGUGUGGGUAUCAAACAGGAUUAGAUACCCGAGUAGUC